AACACAUGCAAGUCGAACGGUAACAGGAAAUAGCUUGCUAUUUUGCUGACGAGUGGCGCACGGGUGCGUAACGCGUAUACAAUCUACCUCUUGCUGAGGGAUAGCCCAGAGAAAUUUGGAUUAAUACCUCAUGGUAUUAUAGAUAGGCAUCUAUUUAUAAUUAAAGGUUACGGCGAGAGAUGAGUAUGCGUCCCAUUAGCUAGUUGGCGAGGUAACGGCUCACCAAGGCAACGAUGGGUAGGGGUCCUGAGAGGGAGAUCCCCCACACUGGUACUGAGACACGGACCAGACUCCUACGGGAGGCAGCAGUGAGGAAUAUUGGACAAUGGGCGGGAGCCUGAUCCAGCCAUGCCGCGUGCAGGAAGACUGCCCUAUGGGUUGUAAACUGCUUUUAUACAGGAAGAAUAAGCCUUACGUGUAAGGUGAUGACGGUACUGUAAGAAUAAGGACCGGCUAACUCCGUGCCAGCAGCCGCGGUAAUACGGAGGGUCCGAGCGUUAUCCGGAAUUAUUGGGUUUAAAGGGUCCGUAGGCGGAUGAUUAAGUCAGGGGUGAAAGUUUGCAGCUCAACUGUAAAAUUGCCUUUGAUACUGGUUAUCUUGAGUUGUAUUGAAGUAGGCGGAAUAUGUAGUGUAGCGGUGGAACGCAUAGAUAUUACAUAGAACACCAAUUGCGAAGCAGCUUACUAAGUACUAACUGACGCUGAUGGACGAAAGCCUGGGUAGCGACAGGAGUAAUACCUGGUAGUCCACGCCGUAACGAUGGAUACUAGCUGGUCGGGAACUUGAGAUCUGAACGGCUAGACGGAAGUGAUUAGGAUCCAGCCUGAGGAAUUCCUUCGCAAGAAUGAACCUGAAGGACUGAGGCGGGCCACAACACGGUGGAGCACUGUAGUCUAAUCACAGAUCGGCACGGAACCUAUACGGACG
RNAcentral lists this ribosomal RNA (928 nucleotides) under uncultured bacterium. RNAcentral's name for it is "bacterial SSU rRNA". It matches the Rfam family "Bacterial small subunit ribosomal RNA", at positions 50 to 980 of the family's 1533-position model. The record is from RNAcentral.